GAUGAACGCUAGCGAUAGGCUUAACACAUGCAAGUCGAGGGGCAGCAUGGUCUUAGCUUGCUAAGACUGAUGGCGAUCGGCGCACGGGUGCGUAACGCGUAUGCAACUUGCCUCACAGAGGGGGAUAACCCGUCGAAAGACGGACUAAUACCGCGUACACUCCAUCUUGGGCAUCCAAGGUAGAGGAAAUGAAAUUCGCUGUGAGAUAGGCAUGCGUCCCAUUAGCUAGUUGGUGAGGUAACGGCUCACCAAGGCGACGAUGGGUAGGGGAACUGAGAGGUUGAACCCCCACACUGGUACUGAGACACGGACCAGACUCCUACGGGAGGCAGCAGUGAGGAAUAUUGGUCAAUGGGCGAGAGCCUGAACCAGCCAAGUCGCGUGAAGGAUGACUGUCUUAUGGAUUGUAAACUUCUUUUAUACGGGAAUAACAAGAGUCACGUGUGACUCCCUGCAUGUACCGUAUGAAUAAGCAUCGGCUAACUCCGUG
This 490-nucleotide ribosomal RNA is filed under the name uncultured bacterium. RNAcentral describes it as "partial 16S ribosomal RNA". It matches the Rfam family "Bacterial small subunit ribosomal RNA", at positions 28 to 507 of the family's 1533-position model. The record is from RNAcentral.